Cyprinodon tularosa is the source of this 1189-nucleotide long non-coding RNA. RefSeq lists it as uncharacterized. NCBI's taxonomy places the organism in Eukaryota, Metazoa, Chordata, Actinopteri, Cyprinodontiformes, Cyprinodontidae. The transcript has 3 exons. The record is from RefSeq and is a predicted model, not a curated record.
AUGACACCAAUUAAAUGUGCAUUUUCAAUUGCAUUGGCUUUUCCUUCACAUAAAACUUUCAUCCAACCUGUGACCACUGUUGGGUUCAAAAAUGUAGGUUCGUAAAAGAGGAACUGAGUCUACACAGAAGGGGGAUUUUUAACAACUUCUGCAGAAGGAGAGAGUUAUAUUCAGCUCACUACUCUCUGACGGCUUCCUCUGCAGAAGCCUUUUUAUUAGCAGAUCAUAACACAUGGGGUGGGUUACAAAAUAGAGUGUUCUUUUGACAAGGCAAUUGAUCAGGUCAUAGGACAAAAUGCUCCUCUGAUUGACUCACAGAACAGAGUGGUCUUCUGAUAACUGUGAUUAGCCUUGCAGAAACAUCAGUAAUUUUCCACCACCGUUGCAUGACAGUUUGCAGUAAACAGAGUGAAGCAUCUAAUUUCUCCAAUGUUUCAUAUGUACACACAUUAACUUUAUAAUCAUCAUUGAAUAAACCUAACAAGCACCAACUCCUCAUUGGAAAGGCUGAUAUCGUUAGGAUUCCAGUUUGUGGGGGUUAUUUUUUUCUUUUUCAGUUCCUCCGUGCAUCCACCAGAUGGUGCCAUUGUUCUCUGCUGGUCUGGAGUGCUUCAUGUUCUUCUCGCCUCUCACACCUGCAGCCUAUUUGGUCAUCACUUCCUGUGGAGUAUUUAAGCAGCAGACUCUCUUAACUUCCUCGCCAGAGUAUUUGCCAGUAUUGGGAUAUCUAUGGAUCCACUGGAUAAGCCAGGUCCUUCUAGUCUUGGAAGGGACUCUCUUGUCAUGCUGAGAAAAGGAGACAGAUCUCCUUAUGCGAAUGCCGUUCACCUCAGGAACAUAGUGACGGUCUGCUCUGCAGAUCCUCAGGACCACCAUAGUCUGCCUGUCCGCCCUCCAGCGGAAAACACCUUCUACAGAGCAAGCCUCCACAAACAGGAACUCUGGAACCUCCCCAAACCACAACAAGCUUCCGCUUCUGGUUCAACAGAUCACUGGGACCUCCCCAAGCUGAAGAACAGUUUUCUGUGUCUUUGUACUACUUUUUCUUCCAAUAAACUGUUUAACUUUUUUCAAAUCUCUGUGAGUGCUCCUGCAUGUGGGCAAGACACAUUAGACCCAUUAUGACAGAUACAUCCUCUUUACUAGCUAGUGAAAAAACAAUUAUCAUCCUUUAUUAACCUUAUCAUGU